Molecule: long non-coding RNA, 295 nt
Filed under: Vulpes vulpes (red fox)
Lineage: Eukaryota; Metazoa; Chordata; Mammalia; Carnivora; Canidae
Description: WT1 antisense RNA conserved region 8 (ENSVVUG00000016299.1)
Rfam family: WT1 antisense RNA conserved region 8
Source: RNAcentral
ACACUGUCUUAAAAUCUUUACAUCUUAGACGAUUCUUUCCAAGUAUUCUUUUGAGUUUUUUUAACCUAUAAAAGAUAAUGGAAUAUCUUUUAUAGAUUGGAUUUUAUCUUAUCCCUUUCCCUCUCCCGAUUGCACUCAGUUUAAUAGUUGUCAGUUUUUUCUCUCAGUGUUUUUUUGUUACGUGUUGGAUUUAAUUAUAUGGAACCAAAAUAUUCCUCAGGAAAUUAGCUUGCUAAAUAUUCUGUCAUUUUGUGAUUCUGCUUUUGAGAAACAGCUUAAUUACAGAAAUCUAUCU